CCCGGAGCUGCUUUACGGCGGGGUUGGGCCCUCCCCGCCUCUUCCUGUUGUGAAGCCGGUUCCUAUGGCCGCUGCCCUCCCUGCUCCCCGCUGGCUCCCGGCAGCAGCCGCCCUGCUGUGGGCGUGCUGCGGCUCGGCGGCGACUGACGGGAUCCAGGACCAAGCAGAACAGUUUUUUAGAAGUGGGCACACAAAUAACUGGGCAGUUUUGGUGUGUACAUCUCGCUUCUGGUUUAACUACCGUCAUGUGGCAAAUACGCUUUCAGUUUACAGAAGCGUCAAGAGACUAGGCAUUCCUGAUAGUCACAUUGUCCUGAUGCUGGCAGAUGAUAUGGCAUGUAAUCCCAGGAAUCCCAAACCAGCAACUGUGUUUAGUCACAAAAACAUGGAGCUAAAUGUUUACGGAGAUGAUGUGGAAGUGGACUAUAGAAGCUAUGAGGUUACAGUGGAGAAUUUCUUGCGCGUAUUAACAGGAAGAAUCCCACCAAGCACACCUCGAUCCAAGCGCCUACUUUCUGAUGACAGAAGCAAUAUUCUAAUAUAUAUGACAGGUCAUGGUGGAAAUGGUUUCUUGAAAUUUCAGGAUUCUGAAGAAAUCACUAAUGUAGAACUUGCUGAUGCCUUUGAACAAAUGUGGCAGAAAAGAAGAUACAACGAAUUGCUGUUUAUUAUUGAUACCUGCCAAGGAGCAUCAAUGUAUGAACGAUUUUAUUCUCCAAAUAUAAUGGCCUUGGCUAGUAGCCAAGUAGGAGAAGAUUCACUUUCACAUCAGCCUGAUCUUGGGAUUGGAGUUCACCUUAUGGAUAGAUAUACAUUUUAUGUCUUGGAGUUCUUGGAAGAAAUUCACCCAGCAAGCCAGACCAAUAUGAAUGACCUUUUUCAGGUAUGCCCUAGAAGUUUGUGUGUUUCUACACCUGGACACCGGACUGAUCUUUUUCAGAGAGAUCCUCAGAAUGUUCUAAUAACAGACUUCUUUGGCAGUGUACGAAAGGUGGAAAUUACAACAGAGACUGUUGCUCUGGAUCCUAACUUAGUUGGCUUGGAAACCAGGGUUCCAGAUGAUGAGAUGGCAACAGAACCACUAAAAUAUGCCGAACAGCUUCCAGUAGCUCAGAUAAUACACCAGAGUAUUCACUUUGGAAGGAGAAGACUUGGACUAUUAGAGACAUCCCCAUUUGAUGUGAUUAACGCAUGGAAGAAGAGGUUUUAAAUGCAAAAAUACUGUGAUUACUGCAAUGCCAUGCAAUUUCAUAAUUGUUUUUAUGGUGCUGCUACUAAACCAAAACAGAAAGACUGGCAUCCUCCAGGAGGUUUUAUUCUAGGACUCUGGGCAUUGAUUAUCAUGGUUUUCUUUAAAACGUAUGGAAUCAAGCACAUGAAAUACAUCUUCUAGGUUUUCUGAGCAACCAAGAUGAUUGCACUGACUGCAACAUGGGAUGAAAAUUGGUGUUAUCAAAGGUUCUUUAUUUGUGUAUUAUGUCUGUUUGUAGUGACAAAUAAUGCUGAAACCUCACAUCUAGAUGCUCUUUUGAUGUUGUGUCAUCUAUCCUCCUUUCAGUAAAAAGCCUAACUAAUGGUUAUACUAUUAGAUAAUUUUAUACUUUCUCAUUUAAACACAUUUUAAUGCUGUUUAUGAGCAAUUUUUCAUCCUGUGUUUUCAGAGACAGCAGGAAAACCGAAGAUCUCAGCUGAAUCUUUAAAAUGUUAAGGCUGUUUAUGAAUUGUAAAAAGGAAGAAUUCUUUCCCUUCCACCUCUAAGUAAAUCUUUUUAAAAGUUAUCCCAUCACUGGAACAAAGGUCUAGACAAUAUGCAGAACCUUAUUUAAGUAAGAUGUCAUUUUAUCAAUAAAAACUUAAGUCACUCUAUAGACUUCAGGCAUGACAUAUUGAAAACUUGCUCAACAGAAACAAAAAUAUUGUAGAAAAUAUUGAUUUUUUGUGUGUUAAAUACAAUCCUUUAGAUCAGUACUUUUACCUAGGGCAAUUUUGGGUUUAGGAUUCUAUGAGCCAUUAGAAUUGAAAACAAAAAUAUGGCCAAACAAUGACCUCAUUUAAUCUAGUUGAAGAAAAAGCUGCCAAAAUGUGUAAAAAAAAAAAAAAAAUUUAAUCUUGUCUAUUAGAAAUCAGUAAAUAUCCAAUAAGAACAAACCAAUAGAUAUGUCAAAACAGAAUUUAUAAGACUUAAAACAGUGCAGUUCAGAAACUCUUGAGUACAAUAGUACAAUUUACAAUUAUUUUAAAUCCCUGAUACCAGAAACAAUUUUCCUCUAUGCAAAGAUGAUCCAGUGUAUUUAAUGCAUUGGAAACCCUUUCAUCCAAAUUGCAUAGCCUUAAAAAGACAGUGUUGCAAGGUCUAUGAAUGGUUCUAUGAAUUAAUGGUUCAUGUAUGCUAAGUGGGUUUUGUUCUUAAAUGUUACCAAUAUUAAGUGACAGGAGGACCAAAUCUGUUCAUAUACAGGAACAACAAAUGCCAGAGAAGAGAUUUCUGAAGAUGUUUUUCCUGAAUGCCAAAUGGUUCUGCUCUGUAUGUCAAAUAUAAAGAUUAGAUAUACAGGAAGGGAAUAGUCUAUCUGAUAUAAAUCUCUAAAAAUCAUUAGGAACUGUUUGUAUUUGUAUUAUUAAUGUAUAGAUGCCUGGAUCAUUUUGUUGGAGAGAAUACAACAUUAAAGAUUGCCAUAUUGCAUAGAA
This is an RNA transcript of Chelonia mydas (Green sea turtle), 2688 nucleotides long. It is a transcript of the gene named phosphatidylinositol glycan anchor biosynthesis class K, with no coding region annotated. Lineage: Eukaryota; Metazoa; Chordata; Testudines; Cheloniidae. The record is from RefSeq and is a predicted model, not a curated record. The transcript is spliced from 12 exons.